ACGAACUUGGCUAAGGAAGAUGCCAAAGGUGUCGCAAGAUGAACGCACCAAUAACGGCACAAGGGUUUCACUAAGAUAAGGUUGAAGUGUUGAAGCACCAAUGUCAGGUGAGGAGAACGUCGAUGUUGUCAAAAAAGGUGAUUAGAUAACACGACAACGGUGAUUAGACGAACAAAAGACAUGUUGACGAUGAUUGGAUGAAUUGAAGACGCAUUGGCGAUGAUUGGACGAAUGGAAGAUGUACCCGUGGUGAGUUAAAAACGAAAAUUUGAAUUUUUUAGUUUCUAAAAUCCAU
Molecule: long non-coding RNA, 295 nt
Filed under: Phaseolus vulgaris (common bean)
Lineage: Eukaryota; Viridiplantae; Streptophyta; Magnoliopsida; Fabales; Fabaceae
Description: long non-coding RNA (PVUL_LNC001256)
Source: RNAcentral